UGGCUUAACCAUAGUUGGCAUUUGAAACUGUAUUACUUGAGUGCAGGAGAGGUAAGUGGAAUUCCUAGUGUAGCGGUGAAAUGCGUAGAUAUUAGGAGGAACACCAGUGGCGAAGGCGACUUACUGGACUGUAACUGACGCUGAGUCACGAAAGCGUGGGUAGCAAACAGGAUUAGAUACCCUGGUAGUCCACGCUGUAAACGAUGAGUGCUAGGUGUUGGGUAGCGAUAUUCAGUGCCGAAGUUAACACAAUAAGCACUCCGCCUGGGGAGUACGGUCGCAAGACUGAAACUCAAAGGAAUUGACGGGGACCCGCACAAGCAGCGGAGCAUGUGGUUUAAUUCGAAGCAACGCGAAGAACCUUACCAAGGCUUGACAUCCCCUUGACCGGCACAGAGAUGUGCCCUCUCCUUCGGGAGCAAGGGUGACAGGUGGUGCAUGGUUGUCGUCAGCUCGUGUCGUGAGAUGUUGGGUUAAGUCCCGCAACGAGCGCAACCCUUAUCCUUAGUUGCCAGCAGGUUAAGCUGGGCACUCUAAGGAGACUGCCGAUGAUAAAUCGGAGGAAGGUGGGGAUGACGUCAAAUCAUCAUGCCCCUUAUGUCUUGGGCUACACACGUGCUACAAUGGUCGGUACAAAGGGCAGCGAAGGAGUGAUCUGGAGCGAAUCCCAAUAAGCCGAUCCCAGUUCGGAUUGUAGGCUGCAACUCGCCUACAUGAAGUCGGAGUUGCUAGUAAUCGCGAAUCAGAACGUCGCGGUGAAUGCGUU
This 766-nucleotide ribosomal RNA is filed under the name uncultured bacterium. RNAcentral describes it as "bacterial SSU rRNA". It matches the Rfam family "Bacterial small subunit ribosomal RNA", at positions 605 to 1372 of the family's 1533-position model. The record is from RNAcentral.